Molecule: non-coding RNA, 30 nt
Filed under: Mus musculus (house mouse)
Lineage: Eukaryota; Metazoa; Chordata; Mammalia; Rodentia; Muridae
Source: RNAcentral
UGCCAACCAAUAACUGCCUAUAGAUUCUUA